AUGAGGCUCUCUGCUCAGCUCCCGUGGCUAUGGAUGCUCUGGGUGCCUGGAUCCAGUGGGGAUAUUGUGAUGACCCAGACUCCACUUUCCCUGCCUGUCAUCCCUGGAGAGCCGGCUUCCAUCUCCUGCAGGUCUAGUCAGAGCCUCCUGCAUAGUGAUGGAUACACCUAUUUGCACUGGUACCUGCAGAAGCCAGGCCAGUCUCCACAGCUCCUGAUCUAUUUGGGUUCCAACUGCGCCUCUGGAGUCCCUGACAGGUUCAGUGGCAGUGGGUCCGGCACUGAUUUCACACUGAAAAUCAGCAGAGUAGAGGCUGAGGAUAUUGGCAUUUAUUACCGCAUGCAAAAUCUACAAAUUCCUUCCACAGUGCUACAUCCUCAAAAAGAAACCUCCCUGCUGGGGUUGCCCAGCUGCCCACAUGCACUUCUUUUCUGGGUAGGAGCUCAGCUGGGUCUCUGCGUUUGCAGAAGAGGAGGCUGUUGGAGAACUCAGGGUCAGAGUUUGCUGCUAACAACUGUGGCCCAUGAAUCCUCAAUUGUACCUCAAUCUCAUAUGUUAAGGCCCCAUCAACUGCCACCACCUGGGAAUGACAUCAGCAGUAGGAGAAUUCAGUUGGCCACAUGCCCUGUGAGCAAGCAGCUAUGA
Macaca mulatta (Rhesus monkey) is the source of this 645-nucleotide non-coding RNA. The record is from the annotation of a RefSeq genome assembly. Lineage: Eukaryota; Metazoa; Chordata; Mammalia; Primates; Cercopithecidae.